CACCUCUGCUGCUACUGGUGGUUGUGAUCUUUGGUACUUCCUGACAUGCUUGGAAAUGACAAUCUGGUUGAGAUUGACUGCUGAAGUUGCUUCCUUUUCUGGUAUAGAUUCCAGCUGAGAUGCUGGUGGUGGUGAUGGAAGAGCUUGCAUCAUUUUUCAGACAGUGGGGGAUAUAAAUGAAGAGAUAAGAGAAUGGAGAAAGUU
This 204-nucleotide long non-coding RNA is filed under the name Linum usitatissimum (flax). RNAcentral describes it as "long non-coding RNA (LUSI_LNC000098)". The record is from RNAcentral. Lineage: Eukaryota; Viridiplantae; Streptophyta; Magnoliopsida; Malpighiales; Linaceae.